GGAAGUAAAAGCGUAACAAGGUUUCCGUAGGUGAACCUGCGGAAGGAUCAUUAAUGUAACCGGACCGUUCCUUUGCCGUAAAACGCACUGGAUUGGAAAGGGAGAUAUCAUACACCCUAUGUUUAUUUACUUUUGUUGCUUUGGUGGGCCGUCCUUUACGGCGUCGGCCUCGGCUGAUCGCGCCCGCCAGAGGACCCAAACUCUUUUAUUAGUGAUGUCUGAGUACUAUAUAAUAGUUAAAACUUUCAACAACGGAUCUCUUGGUUCUG
Molecule: unclassified non-coding RNA, 269 nt
Filed under: plant metagenome
Description: partial contains small subunit ribosomal RNA, internal transcribed spacer 1, and 5.8S ribosomal RNA
Rfam family: Eukaryotic small subunit ribosomal RNA (bases 1-53)
Source: RNAcentral